This 958-nucleotide ribosomal RNA is filed under the name Cohnella sp. RNAcentral describes it as "bacterial SSU rRNA". It matches the Rfam family "Bacterial small subunit ribosomal RNA", at positions 81 to 1026 of the family's 1533-position model. Lineage: Bacteria; Bacillati; Bacillota; Bacilli; Caryophanales; Paenibacillaceae. The record is from RNAcentral.
CUGAUGGAAGGUUAGCGGCAGACGGGUGAGUAACACGUAUGUCACCUGCCCUGCAAGACCGGUGAUAACAUUCGGAAACGAAUGCUAAGACCGGAUACGCCCGCCUGAGGCAUCUCUCGCUUGGGAAACACGGAGCAGUCUGUGGCUUGCGGAUGGGCCUGCGGCGCAUUAGCUAUAUGGUGGGGUAACGGCCUACAAAGGCGCCAAUGCAUAGACCACAUGAGAGCGCGAACGGCCACACUGGGACUGAGACACGGCCCAGACUCCUACAGGAGGCACUACUACGGAAUCUUCCACACUGUGGGCAAGCCUGAUGGAGCAACACGCCGUGAGUGAGGAAGGCCUUCGCUUCGUAAAGCUCUGUUGCCAGGGAAGAAUAAGGGUGAGGUGACUGCUCACCCGAUGACGGUACCUGAGAAGAAAUCCCCGGCUAACUACGUGCCAGCAGCCGCGGUAAUACCUAUGUGGCGAGAGUUGUCGCGAAUUAUUGGGCGUAAAGCGCGCGCAGGCGGUUUCUUAAGUCGGGUGUCUAAGUGCGGGGCUCAACCCCGUGAUGCGCUGGAAACUGGCGGACUUGAGUGCAGGAGAUAAGAGCGUAAAUCUACGUGUAGCGAUGAUGUGCGUACACAUGUGGAGGAACACCAGUGGCUCAGGCGGUUCUCUGGACUGUAACUCACACUGAGGCGCGAAAGCGUGGGGAGCAAACAGGAUUAGACACCCUGGUAGUACACGCGGUACACGAUGAGUGCGCGGUGUUGGGGGUGUCCACCUCUCGGUGCCGAAGUUAACACAUUAAGCACUCCGCCUGGGGAGUACGGUCGCAAGACUGAAACUCAAAGGAAUUCACGGGGACCCGCGCAAGCAGUGGUGUAUGUGGUUAAUUCGAAGCAACUCUAAGAACCUUACCAGGUCUUGACAUCCCUCUGAAUACGCUAGAGAAAGCGUAGGCCUUCGGGAC